CGGGCGUCCUCACAAAUUACCUGCAUUCAGAGAUUCAUACCGGCACAGGUCGGUAUGCGAAGUCCCUUUUGGGGCCUUAGCUCAGCUGGGAGAGCACCUGCUUUGCAAGCAGGGGGUCGUCGGUUCGAUCCCGACAGGCUCCACCAUAUUGAGUGAAAAGACUUCGGGUCUGUAGCUCAGGUGGUUAGAGCGCACCCCUGAUAAGGGUGAGGUCGGUAGUUCGAGUCUACCCAGACCCACCACUCUGAAUGUAGUGCACACUUAAGAAUUUAUACGGAUCAGCGUUGAGGCUGGUACGUGUUCUUUUAUAACUUGUGACGUAGCGAGCGUUUGAGAUAUCUAUCUAAACGUGUCGUUGAGGCUAAGGCGGGGACUUCGAGUCCCUAAAUAAUUGAGUCGUAUGUUCGCGUUGGUGGCUUUGUACCCCACACAACACGUACAUGUAGCUCCGAGGCAACUUGGGGUUAUAUGGUCAAGCGAAUAAGCGCACACGGUGGAUGCCUAGGCGGUCAGAGGCGAUGAAGGACGUGGUAGCCUGCGAAAAGUGUCGGGGAGCUG
Molecule: unclassified non-coding RNA, 558 nt
Filed under: Xanthomonas vesicatoria
Lineage: Bacteria; Pseudomonadati; Pseudomonadota; Gammaproteobacteria; Lysobacterales; Lysobacteraceae
Also listed under: 1 other name
Description: partial contains 16S-23S ribosomal RNA intergenic spacer and 23S ribosomal RNA
Rfam family: tRNA (bases 166-239)
Source: RNAcentral